GUAGGUGGCAAGCGUUGUCCGGAAUUAUUGGGCGUAAAGCGCGCGCAGGCGGUCCUUUAAGUCUGAUGUGAAAGCCCACGGCUCAACCGUGGAGGGUCAUUGGAAACUGGGGGACUUGAGUACAGAAGAGGAAAGCGGAAUUCCAAGUGUAGCGGUGAAAUGCGUAGAGAUCUGGAGGAACACCAGUGGCGAAGGCGGCUUUCUGGUCUGUAACUGACGCUGAGGCGCGAAAGCGUGGGGAGCAAACAGGGAUUAGAUACCCUGGUAGUCCACGCCGUAAACGAUGAGUGCUAAGAGUUAGGGGGUUUCCGCCCCCUUAGUGCUGCAGCUAACGCAUUAAGCACUCCGCCUGGGGAUACGGCCGCAAGGCUG
RNAcentral lists this ribosomal RNA (372 nucleotides) under uncultured organism. RNAcentral describes it as "partial 16S ribosomal RNA". It matches the Rfam family "Bacterial small subunit ribosomal RNA", at positions 527 to 896 of the family's 1533-position model. The record is from RNAcentral.